Molecule: long non-coding RNA, 1270 nt
Filed under: Homo sapiens (human)
Lineage: Eukaryota; Metazoa; Chordata; Mammalia; Primates; Hominidae
Description: non-protein coding lnc-GOLM1-4:2
Source: RNAcentral
GUGGAGGUUUGCGUAGACCUUAGUGGUUGCGAGCACGAACGAGCAGCCAAGCUCCGAGAGCAACAGCGUGCUACUGCUGCCUGACAACGGAUUUAUGUUUCCUAUACAGCGCCUGGGAGUUUCGUGAGGAAACAUAGAUUCAAAAUAUCUGCAAAGUCAAGCCAGACAUUUAAUUUCAGAUUCUUAUAUGUUUUAGAUUUUUUUAAUUUAUUAAUAAAAUGAUCAGUUUUUAAAUGGGGUUACAUAAAUAGACGGGCGCAGGUAAGAAGCACAUCUUUAUCACCACCUGUUCUUUAGGAUGGCCCAAAAUUAAAAGAUGGAAAAGAUAAUACCAAAUGUUGGCAAGGAUGCAGAGCAACUGGACCUCUGUUAUGUUGGUGGUGGUAAUGCAAAAUGGUACAACCACUUUGGAAAACUUAACAAUCUCUCCUUAUAAUCAUAUACUUAUCAUUCGAUCCAGUAAUCUACGAAUUUACUUAGGAACAAAAACAUAUUCAUACAAAGGCUUGUACGUUAAUGUUCAUACCAGCUUUGUUUUGCUUUGUUUUUGUUUUUGUUUGAGACAGAGUGUCACUCUUGUCGCCCCUGCUAGAGUGCAGUGACCUGAUCUCGGCUCAUUGCAACCUCUGCCUUUCAGGUUCAAGCAAUUCUCGUGCCUCAGUCUCCCGAGUAGCUGGGAUUACAGGCGCCUGCCCCCACACCAGGCUGUUUUUUGUAUUUUUAGUAGAGAUGGGGUUUCACCAUGUUGGUCAGGCUGAUCUCAAACUCCUGACCUCGUGAUCUGCCCACCUCAGCCUCCCAGAGUGCUGGGAUUACAGGUAUGAGCCACCGUGCCUGGCCCAGCUUUGUUUUUAAUCAUCAAAAACUACAGACAACCCAAAUGUCCAUCAACUGUUGAAUAAAAACAAUUUGUGGCAUAUCCAUACAAUGUAAUGAAUGUAAUUAUCAAUAAACAGGGAUAAACUACUUGACAUACAACAUGAAUGAAUUUCAAAAAUAUAUUGAGUAAAAGAAAUCAGGCUGAGCUUGGUAGCUGGUAGCUCAUGCGUGUAAUCCCAACACUUUGGGAGGCUGGCAGUGGAGAGGUCGGGUUGGAGACUAGCCUGACCAAUAUGGUGAAAUCCUGUCUCUACUAAAAAUACAAAAAAAUUAGCCAGGCAUGGUGGCGUGCGCCUGUAAUCCCAGCCACUUGGGAGGCUGAGACAGGGGAAUCCCUUGAACUCAGGAGGCAGAGGUUGCUGUGACCCGAGAUGGUGCCAUUGCACUCCAA